Molecule: ribosomal RNA, 253 nt
Filed under: uncultured bacterium
Lineage: Bacteria
Description: partial 16S ribosomal RNA
Rfam family: Bacterial small subunit ribosomal RNA
Source: RNAcentral
UACGUAGGGUCCGAGCGUUGUCCGGAAUUAUUGGGCGUAAAGAGCUCGUAGGCGGCUUGUUGCGUCGACUGUGAAAACCCGCGGCUUAACCGCGGGCUUGCAGUUGAUACGGGCAGGCUAGAGUUCGGUAGGGGAGACUGGAAUUCCUGGUGUAGCGGUGAAAUGCGCAGAUAUCAGGAGGAACACCGGUGGCGAAGGCGGGUCUCUGGGCCGUAACUGACGCUGAGGAGCGAAAGCAUGGGGAGCGAACAGG